This 202-nucleotide long non-coding RNA is filed under the name Lonchura striata (white-rumped munia). RNAcentral describes it as "domestica (Bengalese finch) lncRNA (ENSLSDG00000003739.1)". The record is from RNAcentral. Lineage: Eukaryota; Metazoa; Chordata; Aves; Passeriformes; Estrildidae.
CUGGCCCAGGAGUACCAGCGCCUGCUGCAGGGGCUGCGGGGUUGGGAUCAGGGAUGGAUUUUGGGAUCCCAGGGAUGAUUUUUGGGAUCAGGGAUGGAUUUUGGGAUCCCAGGGAUGAUUUUUGGGAUCCCAGGGAUGGAUUUUGGGAUCAGGGAUGGAUUUUGGGAUCCCAGGGAUGAUUUUUGGGAUCAGGGAUGGAUUU